Non-coding RNA from Morus notabilis, 83 nucleotides. NCBI's taxonomy places the organism in Eukaryota, Viridiplantae, Streptophyta, Magnoliopsida, Rosales, Moraceae. The record is from Rfam.
UGUAACCUAUGAUGCAACUGUUUUAUAGCUGACUUACCCAUGAUUAUUAUUCAAAUUAUCACCAUCUUUCGGCUGAGGUUGCA